RNAcentral lists this ribosomal RNA (408 nucleotides) under uncultured bacterium. RNAcentral describes it as "partial 16S ribosomal RNA". It matches the Rfam family "Bacterial small subunit ribosomal RNA", at positions 28 to 526 of the family's 1533-position model. The record is from RNAcentral.
GACGAACGCUGGCGGCGUGCUUAACACAUGCAAGUCGAACGAAGUGGCGCACGGGUGAGUAACGCAGAAUCAACGUGCCCUUCAGAGGGGGACAACAGUUGGAAACGACUGCUAAUCCCGCAUACUGAAGGAGGGGAUUUCGUUUGAUUAGCUAGUGGGCGGGGAAACGGCCCACCAAGGCGAUGAUCAGUAGCCGGUCUGAGAGGAUGAACGGCCACAUUGGGACUGGGACACGGCCCAGAUUCCUUCGGGAGGCAGCAGUAGGGAAUCUUCCGCAAUGGACGAAAGUCUGACGGAGCAACGCCGCGUGAGUGAUGACGGCCUUCGGGUUGUAAAGCUCUGUUAAGCGGGACGCGGUACCGGAAUAGAAAGCCACGGCUAACUACGUGCCAGCAGCCGCGGUAAUAC